AGUAAAUUGGUUAAGUUAGAAAGGGCGCACGGUGGAUGCCUUGGCACUAGGAGCCGAAGAAGGACGGGACUAACACCGAUAUGCUUUGGGGAGCUGUACGUAAGCGUUGAUCCAGAGAUUUCCGAAUGGGGGAACCCACUAUCUUUAGUCGGAUAGUAUCCUUACGUGAAUACAUAGCGUGAGGAAGGCAGACCCAGGGAACUGAAACAUCUAAGUACCUGGAGGAAGAGAAAGAAAAAUCGAUUUCCUGAGUAGCGGCGAGCGAAACGGAAAGAGCCCAAACCAAGAAGCUUGCUUCUUGGGGUUGUAGGACACUCUAUACGGAGUUACAAAAGAAAGUUAUAAAUGAAGCGGUCUGGAAAGGCCCGCCAAAGACGGUAACAGCCCGGUAGUUGAAAUGGCUUUCCCUCCAGAGUGGAUCCUGAGUACGGCGGAACACGUGAAAUUCCGUCGGAAUCCGGGAGGACCAUCUCCCAAGGCUAAAUACUCCCUAGUGACCGAUAGUGAACCAGUACCGUGAGGGAAAG
RNAcentral lists this ribosomal RNA (527 nucleotides) under Listeria monocytogenes. RNAcentral describes it as "bacterial LSU rRNA". It matches the Rfam family "Bacterial large subunit ribosomal RNA", at positions 1 to 513 of the family's 2925-position model. The record is from RNAcentral. Lineage: Bacteria; Bacillati; Bacillota; Bacilli; Caryophanales; Listeriaceae.